ACAAUGUGCACACAUCUGGUGCCCGCAGUCCUGGACCUGAAUUGUGCAUACUUGAUCGAAGCAUAUACAACAAAUUUCUGUUUCAUUGACCUCAGAGAUAUUGUCAUCCAUCUCAUUAUCGGAAUUGGUUGGCGAUGGUGGCGAAUAAGUUGUUCCUUUCAGGAUGUUCUUUUCCCUCUCCUUGUUAGCCUCCAUCAAUGCACAUUCUAGCAAAUGUUUUGCCUCUUUAUUCAGCUCACUGAUAAACUUCAAUGGCGAUGGCCAGACAAGAGGCUCUGCAGAUGAAGGAUUCAGCAACGCUGCACAUGCACCAUGUUUGUAUCUUAAAGCAAUUGUGUAUGGUAUUCUCCCCAAAUCAUCUCUUUGUAAUCGCUCUGCUCCCCAUGCUAACAAUUCACGGAUACAAUCAAGAGAACCAGCUCUUGCAGCCAAAUGAAGUGGUGUACUACCUGGGAAACCAUAUCCAUCGGUAGAAGCACAAGCAAGAGCACCAUUGUCUAGUAAAAUAUGAACACAAUCAGCCCGUCUUUGACGAGCUGCUAAGUGCAAAGGUGUUGCUCCUUUACCAUCAUUAACGUUCACAAACCGGGCAUAUCCCCAAGAAGACGCAAUGUGUGAUGUCCGAGCAGCAAAAAGAAUUGUUUUGAGACAAUCAGAGUACCCAUAAUAGGCCGCAUAGUGCAAGCAUGUCCUCCCAUUCAAUGAAUCAAACAUCAAAAUCUGAUUAUAUGUUUCAUAAUUAGACCAAUAAAUUUUGCAGAUAAUAAAAAUUGGCAGUUCAUAGAUUCUCUUUUAAGUGUUAAGUUACAUACAUUGGCCCCGGCUUCAAUAAGCUUUUGCACACAAGAGAUCUUCCCGUGCAUUGCUGCUAGCAUCAAUGGAGUCUGCUUAUACCGAUUCAAUAAAUCAGGCUUAACAGACAUGUCUAAAAGCAUAGAAACAACCUCAAUUUGGCCAUUGGCAGCAGCAAUAUGUAAAGCAGACUGUCGAUCAUAAACUGUAGAAUGAUGAACAAGACUUGGGUUUCUCUCAAACAGAGCCUUUACAGUCUCCAAAUCACCACACUGAACAGCAGUAAACAAUCCGUGUUCAUCACUUGUUCCACAACUGAACCCCUGACCCAUAUUAAAAAUCUGAACUUUAUUCUGCUGCUGCGGCGGCGAUGAGUAAGCCCCUUUUUCACCACCGUGGACGGCGGUGGUGACGGUUUCUGGUGGUGGUGGGAGAAUUGGGAAUUGAGAGAGUCAUAUUUAUGGAGUUUAAAGUAGAGAUGGG
RNAcentral lists this unclassified non-coding RNA (1275 nucleotides) under Hevea brasiliensis (rubber tree). Lineage: Eukaryota; Viridiplantae; Streptophyta; Magnoliopsida; Malpighiales; Euphorbiaceae. The record is from RNAcentral.